This 514-nucleotide ribosomal RNA is filed under the name Aphalara fasciata. RNAcentral describes it as "partial 28S ribosomal RNA". It matches the Rfam family "Eukaryotic large subunit ribosomal RNA", at positions 689 to 1205 of the family's 3401-position model. The record is from RNAcentral. Lineage: Eukaryota; Metazoa; Arthropoda; Insecta; Hemiptera; Aphalaridae.
AGUCGUUGGGCCGGGGCCGACGAAACCCGGGCGAAAUGAAAAUGAAGAGUCGAGGGAAGAUGGCGUCAUAGAUCGGCCCGCAUUCCCGGGGUGUCACGAGAGGCGCGCCCAGAGCACACACGCUAGGACCCGAAAGAUGGUGAACUAUGCCUGGCCAGGACGAAGUCAGGGGAAACCCUGAUGGAGGUCCGAAACGAUUCUGACGUGCAAAUCGAUCGUCUGAGCUGGGUAUAGGGGCGAAAGACUAAUCGAACUAUCUAGUAGCUGGUUCCCUCCGAAGUUUCCCUCAGGAUAGCUGGUGCUCGGAGGAUUGAGUCUCUUCUGGUAAAGCGAAUGAUUAGAGGCUUGGGGUCGAAACGGCCUCAACCUAUUCUCAAACUUUAAAUGGGUGAGAACCCCGGCUUGCUCAAAAGCCGGGAUCACUUGAGUGCCAAGUGGGCCAAUUUUGGUAAGCAGAACUGGCGCUGUGGGAUGAACCAAACGCCGAGCUACGGCGACUAAAUCGACGGAAACC